Molecule: long non-coding RNA, 319 nt
Organism: Physeter macrocephalus (sperm whale)
Lineage: Eukaryota; Metazoa; Chordata; Mammalia; Artiodactyla; Physeteridae
Exons: 3
Source: RefSeq, a predicted model, not a curated record
UUCUGGUGUCAGAAAAUUUUUAGUUUUUAGUUUUUAGUUUAAAAACAUCAUGUCUCCUUCCUCAUAGGUACCACUGGACCAGGUCUUUGUUUGCUAGGAUUCUGUCAGAGGUAAAUGCAUUUUGAAGUAGAGAACAUGGAUAAUUGCACGCUUGGAAUGGAAAACUAAGACACCCCCUGCUCGCUAGUUAGAGAACAGACGCGUGUCCGCUCGAGAAAGCCUGGGACCAGGAGAAAGGCGACUUCACGAGCAGAGGACGCCACACUCCGUGUGAUCAUCAGUCAGUUUCUCUGAAACACCGUGUUGCUGCCUAACAGUC